GUGGGGAAUAUUGCGCAAUGGGCGAAAGCCUGACGCAGCGACGCCGCGUGAGGGACGACGGCCUUCGGGUUGUAAACCUCUUUCAGCUCCGACGAAGCGCAAGUGACGGUAGGAGCAGAAGAAGCACCGGCCAACUACGUGCCAGCAGCCGCGGUAAUACGUAGGGUGCAAGCGUUGUCCGGAAUUAUUGGGCGUAAAGAGCUCGUAGGCGGUCUGUCGCGUCGGCUGUGAAACCUCGGGGCUCAACCCCGAGCCUGCAGUCGAUACGGGCAGACUAGAGUUCGGUAGGGGAGACUGGAAUUCCUGGUGUAGCGGUGAAAUGCGCAGAUAUCAGGAGGAACACCGGUGGCGAAGGCGGGUCUCUGGGCCGAUACUGACGCUGAGGAGCGAAAGCGUGGGGAGCGAACAGG
Molecule: ribosomal RNA, 410 nt
Filed under: uncultured Nakamurella sp.
Lineage: Bacteria; Bacillati; Actinomycetota; Actinomycetes; Nakamurellales; Nakamurellaceae
Description: bacterial SSU rRNA
Rfam family: Bacterial small subunit ribosomal RNA
Source: RNAcentral